Molecule: ribosomal RNA, 301 nt
Filed under: uncultured bacterium
Lineage: Bacteria
Description: partial 16S ribosomal RNA
Rfam family: Bacterial small subunit ribosomal RNA
Source: RNAcentral
CAGCCGCCGCGGGAACACGUAGGUGGCAAGCGUUGUCCGGAAUUAUUGGGCGUAAAGCGCGCGCAGGUGGUUUAAUAAGUCUGAUGUGAAAGCCCACGGCUCAACCGUGGAGGGUCAUUGGAAACUGUUAAACUUGAGUGCAGGAGAGAAAAGUGGAAUUCCUAGUGUAGCGGUGAAAUGCGUAGAGAUUAGGAGGAACACCAGUGGCGAAGGCGGCUUUUUGGCCUGUAACUGACACUGAGGCGCGAAAGCCAGGGGAGCGAACGGGAUUAGAUACCCCGGUAGUCCCUGUCUCUUAUAC